UUUUGGAUCCAGCAUAUUUCUCAUUUUUAAUGUCUUUCUCCAGUUUCCAUCGAAAUUUUCAAAAAUAUACUUUUUAUGUUUGAUAAUUACACAUGUUUGGAGAACAGAUAUUCACCCACAAAAUUGCAUGUACACCGCACAAUAUACACCGAUGUAAAUCAGAAACGCAUUUUAGCGUGGGGCUAAAAGAAAAAAAGGGCCAGCCGCAGCGUAAACUGCUCAACAAGCGGCGUGCGUGUGUUUGUGUGUAUGUGUAUGUGUGUUUAUAUAGAAGGAAAUAAGCUGGGCGUCAACAUUCAAAAUGUACCCUUUUCAAGCUCACGCCUCGUGCAAUUGGUCUCUCAUUUGCUGGCAUCCAAAUUAUGCAAAUGUCUUAUGAAUAAUAUUGAGAAACACGAAUCAUGUGCAAAUUCAAAUGAAUGUGAUUAAAUAGAAUGUCAUUAUCGUUGCUGACGACUGGCAGUUGUGAUGGUUCUUAUAUAUACGCAGCCUGAGGCAAUGCACUGUACACUGUAGAGAUUGAGAGUGCGUUGUCUAAUCAAACCUUGAUAGACGCCCACAUGCAAACAUACAUACAUAUAUCCUUAUGAAUAUUAACAUGUAUAUGUAGACUUUAGGGUCAGAGGCCCUCCUCUGCCUUUCUUCUUACACAUAAAAAAUAA
This is a long non-coding RNA of Drosophila montana, 662 nucleotides long. RefSeq lists it as uncharacterized. The record is from RefSeq and is a predicted model, not a curated record. NCBI's taxonomy places the organism in Eukaryota, Metazoa, Arthropoda, Insecta, Diptera, Drosophilidae. The transcript is spliced from 3 exons.